GAGAAUCUGCCCUCAGGAGGGGGAUAACAGCUGAAAACGGCUGCUAAUACCCCAUAUGCCGCGAGGUGAAAUGAAUUUCGCCUGAGGAUGAGCUCGCGUCUGAUUAGCUAGUUGGUGUAGGUAAUGGCUCACCAAGGCAUCGAUCAGUAGCUGGUCUGAGAGGAUGAUCAGCCACACUGGGACUGAGACACGGCCCAGACUCCUACGGGAGGCAGCAGUGGGGAAUUUUCCGCAAUGGGCGAAAGCCUGACGGAGCAACGCCGCGUGAGGGAUGAAGGCCUCUGGGCUGUAAACCUCUUUUAUCAAGGAAGAAGAUCUGACGGUACUUGAUGAAUAAGCCACGG
This 344-nucleotide ribosomal RNA is filed under the name uncultured bacterium. RNAcentral's name for it is "bacterial SSU rRNA". It matches the Rfam family "Bacterial small subunit ribosomal RNA", at positions 119 to 496 of the family's 1533-position model. The record is from RNAcentral.